This 465-nucleotide ribosomal RNA is filed under the name uncultured bacterium. RNAcentral's name for it is "bacterial SSU rRNA". It matches the Rfam family "Bacterial small subunit ribosomal RNA", at positions 34 to 518 of the family's 1533-position model. The record is from RNAcentral.
CGCUGGCGGCACGCUUAACACAUGCAAGUCGAACGGAGAAUUUGGAUUAUCGGAAUUCUAGUGGCGGACGGGUGAGUAACACGUGAGCAACCUGCCUCUGAGAGAGGGAUAGCUUCUGGAAACGGAUGGUAAUACCUCAUAACAUAACGAAGCCGCAUGACUUUGUUAUCAAAGAUUCAUCACUCAGAGAUGGGCUCGCGUCUGAUUAGAUAGUUGGUGAGGUAACGGCUCACCAAGUCGACGAUCAGUAGCCGGACUGAGAGGUUGAACGGCCACAUUGGGACUGAGACACGGCCCAGACUCCUACGGGAGGCAGCAGUGGGGAAUAUUGCACAAUGGGGGAAACCCUGAUGCAGCGAUGCCGCGUGGAGGAAGAAGGUUUUCGGAUUGUAAACUCCUGUCUUAAAGGACGAUAAUGACGGUACUUUAGGAGGAAGCUCCGGCUAACUACGUGCCAGCCGCCGC